Morus notabilis is the source of this 152-nucleotide long non-coding RNA. RefSeq lists it as uncharacterized. The record is from RefSeq and is a predicted model, not a curated record. The transcript is spliced from 2 exons. Lineage: Eukaryota; Viridiplantae; Streptophyta; Magnoliopsida; Rosales; Moraceae.
GGGAUCCGAAAGGGAAAGACUGUUUGAAGGUGGUACAGAUGAUGUGAAGCCCAGAUUGAGAACUCCUCAAGAAAUUAGGGCUGCCUAUGGCAAAGCUAGGGAUGCUUCUUCAGUGGCUGCAAAUGCAAGAAAUAAGCUUGUAGAGAGGCAGG